AUUGAACGCUGGCGGAAUGCUUUACACAUGCAAGUCGAACGGCAGCACGGACUUCGGUCUGGUGGCGAGUGGCGAACGGGUGAGUAAUGUGUCGGAACGUGCCCAGUCGUGGGGGAUAACGUAGUGAAAAUUACGCUAAUACCGCAUACGAUCUAUGGAUGAAAGCGGGGGAUCGCAAGACCUCCCGCGAUUGGAGCGGCCGAUAUCAGAUUAGGUAGUUGGUGGGGUAAAGGCCCACCAAGCCACCGAUCUGUAGCUGGUCUGAGAGGACGGGCAGGCACACUGGGACUGGGACACGGUCCAGACUCCUACGGGAGGCAGCAGUGGGGAAUUUUGGACAAUGGGCGAAAGCCUGAUCCAGCCAUUCCGCGUGCAGGAUGAAGGCCCUCGGGUUGUAAACUGCUUUUGUACAGAACGAAAAGGUUUCUACUAAUACUAGGAGCUCAUGACGGUACUGUAAGAAUAAGCACCGGCUAACUACGUGCCAGCCGCCGCGGUAA
RNAcentral lists this ribosomal RNA (500 nucleotides) under uncultured bacterium. RNAcentral describes it as "partial 16S ribosomal RNA". It matches the Rfam family "Bacterial small subunit ribosomal RNA", at positions 30 to 523 of the family's 1533-position model. The record is from RNAcentral.